Molecule: ribosomal RNA, 322 nt
Filed under: Pseudomonas sp. R9.35
Lineage: Bacteria; Pseudomonadati; Pseudomonadota; Gammaproteobacteria; Pseudomonadales; Pseudomonadaceae
Description: bacterial SSU rRNA
Rfam family: Bacterial small subunit ribosomal RNA
Source: RNAcentral
GGGACCUUCGGGCCUUGCGCUAUCAGAUGAGCCUAGGUCGGAUUAGCUAGUUGGUGAGGUAAUGGCUCACCAAGGCGACGAUCCGUAACUGGUCUGAGAGGAUGAUCAGUCACACUGGAACUGAGACACGGUCCAGACUCCUACGGGAGGCAGCAGUGGGGAAUAUUGGACAAUGGGCGAAAGCCUGAUCCAGCCAUGCCGCGUGUGUGAAGAAGGUCUUCGGAUUGUAAAGCACUUUAAGUUGGGAGGAAGGGCAGUUACCUAAUACGUAUCUGUUUUGACGUUACCGACAGAAUAAGCACCGGCUAACUCUGUGCCAGCA